UCGUCGCGUGGGUGCCGCGCGCUUGGACACGCUGCCGGACGAGCGAGAGGCGUUGACUUUUCAGACUGGGGUUUUGCGGCGACGGCGUGGCAUUGGGCCUUCUCGACGAAAGCGGGGGUGGAACCCUUUUUUUUUUUGCGUAAGCAGGGGCGGGGAGGAAGCUUGUCGCAGCCGGCCCCAGGUAAAUGGAGGAACCUGUCAGUUGAGAGGAGGAGGAGGAGGAGGCGACCAAGGUGAAAUGGCGGCGGCGGUACCAAUGGCGGCACAAUGAGGCGACGCCUGUAAACCGGGUAAACUCCGGACUGUCCCACCUGGCAGGAGCUUGGCAGUGAUGUGAUUACCAUACACACCAUACACGCAGAUAUAAUGGUGUCAGAAUGCAGUUCAGAAAACAUAUACGCAGAGAUCUCAGAAAUUAAUACAGUAGUCCUCAACUUACGACCACAAUUGAACCCAAAAUUUCUGUUGUUAACGAGUCAUUUGUUAACUUCUUGGUUCUCUGCCUAACUCACACAGAGCAAUAAUGUAUUGGAUUACUGACAACUGACUGGUUGAAAAAAAGGUUUGAUAAUAUUCAAUCUUUAGUUGAAAAUUUUUUUAAAAGUUUGAUGAACUGAUAAUGACUGGAAAAUAUUCAGAUGCAUCUAGUAUCUGGAUAAUUCAGAUUCACAAAAGAAAUGUGAUUUGAAACUUCAGUCAAUCUGUCGCAAAGAAAGUGGGACUGUAUAGACUUAGAAUUAAUUCAGUUGAUUGCAUAUACCACUUUGAACUUCAAGCCUGCAGCUUUUACAACAUAAGGAAUUAUACUGCAUGGAGAAGUGACAAUUUGGCCUUCCCUAAGAGGAUUGAAGGAGAUUAGUGUGAUUUAUCACACUUAAUUGGGAACCAAUUUCAUCUGGACUUGGUUGGGAAGCUAGACUGAUUUUGGAGAUUGAAUUUAUUAUAUUUAAUCAGACAACAAUUGAUAAGAGGUGGAAUUAAAAAACAAAUGUGGAUAUUUGAUCCAGGACAAAUUACUGUUAACUUUUGGGAGGAUUUGGAAUGAUAAGAUGCCAUAGAAAAAUUUUUAUGAGCUGAUUAACAAUUUGCUUUCAGAUAAUUUUGAAACUUUAACUUUGUCUUUUUAAAUUAUUAUUGUUGUUCCUGUUAACUAUUUUGUCAUUAAUAUAAUAUAUAGAUGACAGGUUAGUAAUUUGCAAAUAGAUUUAGUAAUUUAAAAAUCUUUUGGGUGUUUUUCAUAAGGGGUGGGAUAGUAAUAUUGUAUCAAUAUUCAACAAGAGGGGAUAAUAUCUAUAAAUGUUUUAAUUCACUUUUUAAAUGACUUGUUUGCUAUGUUUUCUUUUUGUUUUGUUUGUUUUUUAAAAAUCUUUUGGAGUUUUUUAUUUUAAUUUUUUAAAUAAAAUAAUUUGAUUAAAAAAGGAAAAAAGAGAAGUUAUAAAUUAAUAUUUCUCCAUGUAUUGUGAGACUCUUAGGAUGAUAUGAGUGAACAACCAACAUUCAGUUUGGCCUGAAAGUUGCUGUUGAAUUGUCAAUUUAAAAAAAAAAUAAUUUAUAUUGAAAAUUUUGUUUACAGUGGUAAAAACAAAUUUAAGCUAAACUUA
Pantherophis guttatus is the source of this 1601-nucleotide non-coding RNA. The record is from RefSeq and is a predicted model, not a curated record. NCBI's taxonomy places the organism in Eukaryota, Metazoa, Chordata, Lepidosauria, Squamata, Colubridae.